RNAcentral lists this ribosomal RNA (458 nucleotides) under uncultured bacterium. RNAcentral describes it as "bacterial SSU rRNA". It matches the Rfam family "Bacterial small subunit ribosomal RNA", at positions 339 to 794 of the family's 1533-position model. The record is from RNAcentral.
CUACGGGAGGCAGCAGUGAGGAAUAUUGGUCAAUGGGCGCAAGCCUGAACCAGCCAUCCCGCGUGCAGGAUGAAGGCCCUAUGGGUUGUAAACUGCUUUUGUACACCAAGAAAAGUCGUGACGUGUCACGAUCUGACGGUAGUGUAUGAAUAAGCAUCGGCUAACUCCGUGCCAGCAGCCGCGGUAAUACGGAGGAUGCAAGCGUUAUCCGGAUUCAUUGGGUUUAAAGGGUGCGUAGGCGGCCUUUUAAGUCAGUGGUGAAAUCCUGCCGCUUAACGGUAGAAUUGCCAUUGAUACUGAAAGGCUUGAGUUCAGUUGAGGUAAGCGGAAUGUGUAGUGUAGCGGUGAAAUGCUUAGAUAUUACACAGAACACCAAUUGCGAAGGCAGCUUACUAAACUGACACUGACGCUGAUGCACGAAAGCGUGGGGAGCGAACAGGAUUAGAUACCCCGGUAGC